This is a long non-coding RNA of Ochotona princeps (American pika), 621 nucleotides long. RefSeq lists it as uncharacterized. The record is from RefSeq and is a predicted model, not a curated record. The transcript has 5 exons. Lineage: Eukaryota; Metazoa; Chordata; Mammalia; Lagomorpha; Ochotonidae.
GGCCGCCCACCGCCGGGUUAGCGCUGCUGGAUCCGCAGCGGCGCUUCCGCGAUUUGGUUUGAAGCGAGGCUACAAAAUUCUAGCUUGUGAGUAAACUGUACAUUGACUAUUCUUGGGUUAUGUGAUCACUCAUGGUCCAACCAACGGUGGAAAGUUUGGAAAACUGUCAAGCAAAUGCACUUCCUGAAAUUGCUAGCAGGGCUUAUUAUGUACAGAGAGCAACAUCUAAACUAGCUGGAAGCACCACUUUGCACACCAGAGAGAGACCACCUCCACACUGCCCUUCCUUUUUUAAGGAAGAACCAACUUUAUGAACAAUUAAGAGUGAGUGAUAAAGACCCCCAAAGCCUAUCUGCCUCGGAGGAUCUUUAUAUCCUUAUCAUGGAAAAAGCAGAAAGAAUGUUUCUGGCUGCAGCACCCAGCAAUCGGAGCUGGAACAAGGGACAGACUAGACUAGGCCAGGCUGUGCAAUAAGACUGCAGACACUGAGGUGAGGAACGACAAGGAGAAAUAGCAAAUUUGGAAGCAAAGAAUUCACCCAAUUUUCCCUAAACCUCAAUCCUUCCCACCCUGAUCAACCAUGUAAUUGUUAUUUUAAAAAAUAAAAUUUGUCAAAAAAAA